RNAcentral lists this ribosomal RNA (491 nucleotides) under uncultured bacterium. RNAcentral's name for it is "partial 16S ribosomal RNA". It matches the Rfam family "Bacterial small subunit ribosomal RNA", at positions 29 to 506 of the family's 1533-position model. The record is from RNAcentral.
AGUGAACGCUGGCGGUAUGCCUAACACAUGCAAGUCGAACGGCAGCACAUUAAUAGCUUGCUCGUACGGGUGGCGAGGGGCGGACGGCUGAGGAAUACAGCGGAAUCUACUUUUUCGUGGGGGAUAACGUAGGGAAACUUACGCUAAUACCGCAUACGACCUACGUGUGAAAGCAGUGGAUCUUCGGACCUUGCGCGAUUGAAUGAUCCGAUGUCGGAUUAGCUAUUUGUCGGGGUAAAGGCCCACCAAGGCGACGAUCCGUAGCUGGUCUGAGAGGAUGAUCAACCACACUGGAAAUGAGAAACGGCCAAGCCUCCUACGGGAGGCAGCAGUGGGGAAUAUUGGACAAUGGGGGCAAGCAUGAUCCAGAAAGACCGAGUGGGUGAAGAAGGCCUGCGGGUUGUAAAGCCCUUUUGUUGGGAAAGAAAAGCAGCAGGUUAAUACAACGCUGUAUUGACGGUACCCAAAGAAUAAGCACCGGUUAACUUCGU